AGUGAGGAUAGAGGCGCAAAGACCAAUAGUACACAAUCUUAGGAUGAUGAGAUCCAGUGACGAUUGUAGAAAGGGGAAUUUGCCGAAGUGAAAAGAACCUCAUUGUUCUUAAAACUGGGUCUGCUAUUGAAUAAAUGCAGAACUGUCAUAUAGGAAACUAUAUGGAGGGCUAUCUCACGC
RNAcentral lists this non-coding RNA (180 nucleotides) under Bacillus sp. (in: firmicutes). Its description in RNAcentral is "Bacillus sp. Lysine sequence". It matches the Rfam family "Lysine riboswitch aptamer". Rfam says of the family: Riboswitches are metabolite binding domains within certain messenger RNAs that serve as precision sensors for their corresponding targets. Allosteric rearrangement of mRNA structure is mediated by ligand binding, and this results in modulation of gene expression. RNAcentral also lists the same sequence under 1 other name. Lineage: Bacteria; Bacillati; Bacillota; Bacilli; Caryophanales; Bacillaceae. The record is from RNAcentral.